AUGAGGCAAGAAGGGCUCCAGAUCUGCUUCAUGGAUUAUAGAACGAAGGAACCCUACCAGGUUACCAGUGAAACAAUGAUGAAAUGUCAUUGAACUCUGAAUUGCAAUAUGGGGGUGAACACACCCUUCGAACCUGCCUACUUCAGUCGGCAGACCACAAGAGAUCAACUGGGAGAAGUGCCAGGAAGAUGUUUGACAAAGGAGAAGAAAGGUCCAAGUGCAAUAUACUUAUGGCUAACGAUGGCUGAAGAAUCUUGAUAUUCCCACACUAAGAUGAAGUAUAAAGAGAUGAGUCUUCUGUGGAUCUCCAGGAGCGACACAGAGGAUGGAGAGUCAAUCCCAGAAAAUGCAGUGGGCUUUGAGAGCUGCAAAUAAGGCACCAGCUUCUGAAGUCAGGCCCAACAAACAAGAACCUGGUGGUGGAAAUAAUCAGGUUCCCCUAUUCUAAUCAGCAAACCUCCCAACCACAACUUACCGUCCAAGUCCACACCUUCCUGUCAGCCUGGACCUCAGACUGUGGCUACAUUUACAAAGUCGACUUCAUCAGCCUGAGAUGGGUCACAAAGAGGAGGGCUGCUGACCUCCCGGCAAUUCACAAACCCUGCCAUGAAUGGGCAGCUUGUAUAUAAAGAAGAAACUAGGGCUUCCCUGGUGGCGCAGUGGUUGAGAAUCUGCCUGCCGAUGCAGGGGACACGGGUUCGUGCCCCGGUCCGGGAAGAUCCC
Physeter macrocephalus (sperm whale) is the source of this 723-nucleotide long non-coding RNA. RefSeq lists it as uncharacterized. The record is from RefSeq and is a predicted model, not a curated record. NCBI's taxonomy places the organism in Eukaryota, Metazoa, Chordata, Mammalia, Artiodactyla, Physeteridae. The transcript is spliced from 4 exons.